This 73-nucleotide transfer RNA is filed under the name Fannyhessea vaginae DSM 15829. Its description in RNAcentral is "Atopobium vaginae DSM 15829 tRNA". It matches the Rfam family "tRNA". From Rfam's summary of the family: Transfer RNA (tRNA) molecules are approximately 80 nucleotides in length. Their secondary structure includes four short double-helical elements and three loops (D, anti-codon, and T loops). Lineage: Bacteria; Bacillati; Actinomycetota; Coriobacteriia; Coriobacteriales; Atopobiaceae. The record is from Rfam by way of RNAcentral.
GGCCUCGUAGCUCAGGGGAUAGAGCACAAGUUUCCUAAACUUGGUGUCGUUGGUUCGAAUCCAAUCGGGGUCA